AACUUAUCAAGAGUGGUGGAGGGACCGGCCCGAUGAAACCCAGCAACCAAUAUGUAAUGUCAUUUAUUAUAUAUACGGUGCUAAUUCCUGCAGUUAUUAUAUUUAACUGAAAGAUGAGAG
Clostridium butyricum is the source of this 120-nucleotide regulatory RNA element. It matches the Rfam family "SAM riboswitch aptamer (S box leader)". From Rfam's summary of the family: The SAM riboswitch is found upstream of a number of genes which code for proteins involved in methionine or cysteine biosynthesis in Gram-positive bacteria. The SAM riboswitch acts at the level of transcription termination control. The predicted structure consists of a complex stem-loop region followed by a single stem loop terminator region. The record is from Rfam. Lineage: Bacteria; Bacillati; Bacillota; Clostridia; Eubacteriales; Clostridiaceae.